UGUGUGCGUGUGUGUGUGUGUGUGUGUGUGUUUGUUUUUUUUUGGCACUGAUUGGUUUGAGAAUGUGCAUGCAUGUGUGAGUGCAUGGACACACACACACACACACACACACAUACACA
Molecule: microRNA precursor, 119 nt
Filed under: Marmota monax (woodchuck)
Lineage: Eukaryota; Metazoa; Chordata; Mammalia; Rodentia; Sciuridae
Source: RNAcentral